GACGAACGCUGGCGGCAUGCCUAAUACAUGCAAGUCGAGCGAACAGAUGAAGUGCUUGCACUUCUGACGUUAGCGGCGAACGGGUGAGUAACACGUAAGGAAUCUACCUAUAAGCGGGGGAUAACAUUCGGAAACGGGUGCUAAUACCGCAUAAUAUCUUCUUCCGCAUGGAAGAAGAUUGAAAGACGGCUCUGCUGUCACUUAUAGAUGACCUUGCGGUGCAUUAGUUAGUUGGUGGGGUAACGGCCUACCAAGACGAUGAUGCAUAGCCGACCUGAGAGGGGGAUCGGCCACAUUGGGAAUGAGACACGGCCCAAACUCCUACGGGAGGCAGCAGUAGGGAAUCUUCCGCAAUGGGCGAAAGCUUGACGGAGCAAUGCCGCAUGAGUGAAGAAGGCCUUCGGGUCGUAAAACUCUGUUAUAAGAGAAGAACAAAUUGUAGAGUAACUGCUACAGUCUUGACGGUAUCUUAUCAGAAAGCCACGGCUAACUACGUGCCAGCCGCCGCCGUAA
RNAcentral lists this ribosomal RNA (513 nucleotides) under uncultured bacterium. RNAcentral describes it as "partial 16S ribosomal RNA". It matches the Rfam family "Bacterial small subunit ribosomal RNA", at positions 28 to 523 of the family's 1533-position model. The record is from RNAcentral.